CCAGGGAAAGCCGAAAACCUGUUUAAGAGAGUAGGCG
Molecule: regulatory RNA element, 37 nt
Organism: Niastella vici
Lineage: Bacteria; Pseudomonadati; Bacteroidota; Chitinophagia; Chitinophagales; Chitinophagaceae
Rfam family: DUF805b RNA
About the family: Bacteroidetes, Chlorobi (1 example), Proteobacteria. Lineage (Flavobacteria)
Source: Rfam